Molecule: ribosomal RNA, 254 nt
Filed under: uncultured bacterium
Lineage: Bacteria
Description: partial 16S ribosomal RNA
Rfam family: Bacterial small subunit ribosomal RNA
Source: RNAcentral
UACGGAGGGUACGAGCGUUGUCCGGAAUCACUGGGCGUAAAGGGCGCGUAGGUGGCCUGUGGAAGUCUGCGGUGAAAGCCCGGCGCUCAACGCCGGGUCGGCCGUGGAUACUCUCGGGCUUGAGCUCACUAGAGGCAGAUGGAAUUCCGGGUGUAGCGGUGGAAUGCGUAGAGAUCCGGAAGAACACCGGUGGCGAAGGCGGUCUGCUGGGGUGAUGCUGACACUGAUGCGCGACAGCGUGGGGAGCAAACAGG